RNAcentral lists this non-coding RNA (938 nucleotides) under Odorrana macrotympana. RNAcentral describes it as "12S ribosomal RNA". It matches the Rfam family "Bacterial small subunit ribosomal RNA". The record is from RNAcentral. Lineage: Eukaryota; Metazoa; Chordata; Amphibia; Anura; Ranidae.
UAAAGGUUUGAUCCUGACCUUAUUAUCAACUGUUUCUCGACUUACACAUGCAAGUCUCAGCAGACCUGUGAGGACGCCCUUUCAACCUUCACCAGGCUAAGGAGCCGGUAUCAGACUCUAACCCAAGUCCACAACACCUAGUCUCACCACACCCCCAAGGGCCAUCAGCAGUGAUAAAUCUUGAGCAUGAGCGAAAGCUCGACUCAGUCAGAGAAAAGAGAGCCGGCCAACCCGGUGCCAGCCGCCGCGGCUACACCGAGGGACUCAAGUUGAAAAUUUUCGGCGUCAAGCGUGAUUAGAGUCCACUAAGAUUAGGGUUGAAUUAAUACUUAGCAGUAUAAAGCUUGCUAUUAAGAAGAACAAAAACGAAAGUUACCCUAACCCCUACACUUGAAUACACGACAGCUGGGAGACAAACUAGGAUUAGAUACCCUACUAUGCCCAACCGUAAACAAUUAACUUACACCAAUAAACGCCAGGGGACUACGAGCUAUGCUUAAAACCCAAAGGAUUUGACGGUGUCCCACCCAACUAGAGGAGCCUGUUCUAUAAUCGAUAAUCCCCGAUACACCCCACCACCCCUUGCUCAUCAGUCUGUAUACCUCCGUCGAAAACUUACCAUGUGAACGUUUAUAGUAAGUUCAAUGAUUGUACUACAUCAACACGUCAGGUCAAGGUGCAACUUAAGGGAUGGAAAGUAAUUGGCUACAAUUUCUAACCUAGAACAAACGAAAGACUAUGUGAAAUCAUAGUAGCGAAGGCGGAUUUAGUAGUAAAAAGAAAAUAGAGAGUUCUUUUUAACCCGGCUCUGGAACGCGUACACACCGCCCGUCACCCUCUUCAACAGCAACACUAUUCAAGUUCAUAACUCACUUAUGCGUCUUAGAAGAGGCAAGUCGUAACAUGGUAAGGGUACUGGAAAGUGCUCUUGGUAAAUA